This 470-nucleotide unclassified non-coding RNA is filed under the name Hevea brasiliensis (rubber tree). The record is from RNAcentral. Lineage: Eukaryota; Viridiplantae; Streptophyta; Magnoliopsida; Malpighiales; Euphorbiaceae.
UCAGAGAUUUCAGCAGUGAUGGCAGCCUCGAUCCCGGAAGCCCCAAUUCCUCCUCCUGAUGUUGUCGGUAAUGCAUUUGUUCACCAAUACUAUCUCAUCUUGCAUCAAUCGCCCGAGCUUGUUCACCGAUUCUACCAGGAUGAUAGUAAGCUUGGUCGUCCAGAGGAGGGUGGGAUCAUGAGUACCACAACAACAAUGCAUGGCAUAAAUGAGAAGAUACUAUCACUUGGUUAUGGAGAAUUCAGAGCAGAAAUAACCACAGUUGAUUCACAAGAAUCAUAUGACGGAGGAGUCCUUGUCCUUGUGACUGGAUAUUUGACUGGAAAUGAUAAUGUUCGACAGAAAUUUACUCAGAGUUUCUUCUUGGCACCACAAGACAAAGGCUAUUUUGUUUUGAAUGAUGUCUUCCGAUACGUUGAUGAUGCCAAGCUUCAAAAUGGAAAUUUUGAUGUUGUCAAUAGUAUUGAAGG